This 468-nucleotide ribosomal RNA is filed under the name uncultured bacterium. RNAcentral describes it as "partial 16S ribosomal RNA". It matches the Rfam family "Bacterial small subunit ribosomal RNA", at positions 28 to 507 of the family's 1533-position model. The record is from RNAcentral.
GACGAACGCUGGCGGCGUGCUUAACACAUGCAAGUCGAACGGAAAGGCCCUGCUUUUGUGGGGUGCUCGAGUGGCGAACGGGUGAGUAACACGUGAGUAACCUGCCCUUGACUUUGGGAUAACUUCAGGAAACUGGGGCUAAUACCGGAUAGGAGCUCCUGCUGCACGGUGGGGGUUGGAAAGUUUCGGCGGUUGGGGAUGGACUCGCGGCUUAUCAGCUUGUUGGUGGGGUAGUGGCUUACCAAGGCUUUGACGGGUAGCCCGCCUGAGAGGGGGACCGGCCACAUUGGGACUGCGGUACGGCCCAGAAUCCUACGGGAGGCAGCAGUGGGGAAUAUUGCACAAUGGGCGGAAGCCUGAUGCAGCAACCCCCCGUGCGGGAUGACCGCCUUCGGGUUGUAAACCGCUUUCGCCUGUGACGAAGCCGGAGUGACGGUAAUGGGUAAAGAAGCACCGGCUAACUACGUG